CGUCAGCAGGGCCAGCAAGACGGCGACUUCCACUGGCUGUAAGCCAUCAAAGCUUUGCAUGCGUGAGGCCGGGUUGAUGUUGACUUAAUCAAUCUCCCUGCUGGCGAGGACUUCCUACAGUUAAACACACAUGUCUGGUUAUCAAAGACUCAUGUAGGAUGGUCCCGAGCUCCAAACCAUGGAGGCAGUGGCCUCUUCUCUGUCUCUGUUGAAAAUGUUAAGCACGAAGGAAAGCAGCUGCAUCACCACAAACGCCAAGGAGAAGCACACGAAUGAAUCUGGGUUUCCAUUUUGAAGUUAUAGCUGCUGUACUGAAAGGAAAGGAACUCUUUUCUCCGUGAAAAUGCAAAGAAAAAUAAAUCUGGGUUAUUGGUCACUCACCUGACCCAGGCCCCAGAUAGAGCAAUCGAGGCGGUGGCCAUGGCGCUCCCAGAUCGGCGACGGCCUCUACAGAUGAGCGCCACCCAUCGCUCAUCGUCAAAUGCUUCGAGUUGCCCGCGACGAAGCUGCUCGACUUCGGUGCCUCCCCUCCGUGUGGUUCCGCUCGAGGGCCGUGCGGUUCCUUGUGAGGGGAGGGCUCGGCUGCUCCGACGCCUCAAGGUGCACGAGCGAUCCAAGGACCUUUGUGCUGGCUCAG
Molecule: long non-coding RNA, 637 nt
Organism: Triticum dicoccoides
Lineage: Eukaryota; Viridiplantae; Streptophyta; Magnoliopsida; Poales; Poaceae
Exons: 5
Source: RefSeq, a predicted model, not a curated record